GGAGGGGUACCCAAGUGGCCAACGGGACCAGACUGUAAAUCUGGCGUCUUUCGACUUCGGUGGUUCGAAUCCACCCCCCUCCACCA
This 86-nucleotide transfer RNA is filed under the name Deltaproteobacteria bacterium. Its description in RNAcentral is "tRNA-Tyr". It matches the Rfam family "tRNA". Rfam says of the family: Transfer RNA (tRNA) molecules are approximately 80 nucleotides in length. Their secondary structure includes four short double-helical elements and three loops (D, anti-codon, and T loops). The record is from RNAcentral. Lineage: Bacteria; Pseudomonadati; Myxococcota; Myxococcia.